RNAcentral lists this ribosomal RNA (508 nucleotides) under uncultured bacterium. RNAcentral describes it as "partial 16S ribosomal RNA". It matches the Rfam family "Bacterial small subunit ribosomal RNA", at positions 28 to 523 of the family's 1533-position model. The record is from RNAcentral.
GAUGAACGCUAGCUACAGGCUUAACACAUGCAAGUCGAGGGGAAACGAUAUUGGAAGCUUGCUUCCGAUAGGCGUCGACCGGCGCACGGGUGAGUAACGCGUAUCCAACCUGCCCACCACUUGGGGAUAACCUUGCGAAAGUAAGACUAAUACCCAAUGAUAUCUCUAGAAGACAUCUGAAGGAGAUUAAAGAUUUAUCGGUGAUGGAUGGGGAUGCGUCUGAUUAGCUUGUUGGCGGGGUAACGGCCCACCAAGGCGACGAUCAGUAGGGGUUCUGAGAGGAAGGUCCCCCACAUUGGAACUGAGACACGGUCCAAACUCCUACGGGAGGCAGCAGUGAGGAAUAUUGGUCAAUGGGCGAGAGCCUGAACCAGCCAAGUAGCGUGCAGGAUGACGGCCCUAUGGGUUGUAAACUGCUUUUAUAAGGGAAUAAAGUGAGCCUCGUGAGGCUUUUUGCAUGUACCUUGUGAAUAAGGACCGGCUAAUUCCGUGCCAGCCGCCGCGGUAA